This 2343-nucleotide ribosomal RNA is filed under the name Staphylococcus hominis. Its description in RNAcentral is "partial 23S ribosomal RNA". It matches the Rfam family "Bacterial large subunit ribosomal RNA", at positions 575 to 2925 of the family's 2925-position model. Lineage: Bacteria; Bacillati; Bacillota; Bacilli; Caryophanales; Staphylococcaceae. The record is from RNAcentral.
CAGAGCCCGUUAAUGGGUGAUGGCGUGCCUUUUGUAGAAUGAACCGGCGAGUUACGAUCUGAUGCAAGGUUAAGCAGAAAAUGUGGAGCCGUAGCGAAAGCGAGUCUGAAUAGGGCGUAUAGUAUUUGGUCGUAGACCCGAAACCAGGUGAUCUACCCAUGGUCAGGUUGAAGUUCAGGUAACACUGAAUGGAGGACCGAACCGACUUACGUUGAAAAGUGAGCGGAUGAACUGUGGGUAGCGGAGAAAUUCCAAUCGAACUUGGAGAUAGCUGGUUCUCUCCGAAAUAGCUUUAGGGCUAGCCUCAAGUGAUGAUUAUUGGAGGUAGAGCACUGUUUGGACGAGGGGCCCCUCUCGGGUUACCGAAUUCAGACAAACUCCGAAUGCCAAUUAAUUUAACUUGGGAGUCAGAACAUGGGUGAUAAGGUCCGUGUUCGAAAGGGAAACAGCCCAGACCACCAGCUAAGGUCCCAAAAUAUAUGUUAAGUGGAAAAGGAUGUGGCGUUGCCCAGACAACUAGGAUGUUGGCUUAGAAGCAGCCAUCAUUUAAAGAGUGCGUAAUAGCUCACUAGUCGAGUGACACUGCGCCGAAAAUGUACCGGGGCUAAACAUAUUACCGAAGCUGUGGAUUGUCCUUUGGACAAUGGUAGGAGAGCGUUCUAAGGGCGUUGAAGCAUGAUCGCAAGGACAUGUGGAGCGCUUAGAAGUGAGAAUGCCGGUGUGAGUAGCGAAAGACGGGUGAGAAUCCCGUCCACCGAUUGACUAAGGUUUCCAGAGGAAGGCUCGUCCGCUCUGGGUUAGUCGGGUCCUAAGCUGAGGCCGACAGGCGUAGGCGAUGGAUAACAGGUUGAUAUUCCUGUACCACCUAUAAUCGUUUUAAUCGAUGGGGGGACGCAGUAGGAUAGGCGAAGCGUACGAUUGGAUUGUACGUCUAAGCAGUGAGAUUGAGUGUUAGGCAAAUCCGGCACUCUUAAGAUUGAGCUGUGAUGGGGAGAGGAAAUUGUUUCCUCGAGUCGUUGAUUUCACACUGCCGAGAAAAGCCUCUAGAUAGAGAUUAGGUGCCCGUACCGCAAACCGACACAGGUAGUCAAGAUGAGAAUUCUAAGGUGAGCGAGCGAACUCUCGUUAAGGAACUCGGCAAAAUGACCCCGUAACUUCGGGAGAAGGGGUGCUCUUUAGGGUGCAAGCCCAGAAGAGCCGCAGUGAAUAGGCCCAAGCGACUGUUUAUCAAAAACACAGGUCUCUGCUAAACCGUAAGGUGAUGUAUAGGGGCUGACGCCUGCCCGGUGCUGGAAGGUUAAGAGGAGUGGUUAGCUUCUGCGAAGCUACGAAUCGAAGCCCCAGUAAACGGCGGCCGUAACUAUAACGGUCCUAAGGUAGCGAAAUUCCUUGUCGGGUAAGUUCCGACCCGCACGAAAGGCGUAACGAUUUGGGCACUGUCUCAACGAGAGACUCGGUGAAAUCAUAGUACCUGUGAAGAUGCAGGUUACCCGCGACAGGACGGAAAGACCCCGUGGAGCUUUACUGUAGCCUGAUAUUGAAAUUCGGCACAGCUUGUACAGGAUAGGUAGGAGCCUUUGAAACGUGAGCGCUAGCUUACGUGGAGGCGUUGGUGGGAUACUACCCUAGCUGUGUUGGCUUUCUAACCCGCACCACUUAUCGUGGUGGGAGACAGUGUCAGGCGGGCAGUUUGACUGGGGCGGUCGCCUCCUAAAAGGUAACGGAGGCGCUCAAAGGUUCCCUCAGAAUGGUUGGAAAUCAUUCAUAGAGUGUAAAGGCAUAAGGGAGCUUGACUGCGAGACCUACAAGUCGAGCAGGGUCGAAAGACGGACUUAGUGAUCCGGUGGUUCCGCAUGGAAGGGCCAUCGCUCAACGGAUAAAAGCUACCCCGGGGAUAACAGGCUUAUCUCCCCCAAGAGUUCACAUCGACGGGGAGGUUUGGCACCUCGAUGUCGGCUCAUCGCAUCCUGGGGCUGUAGUCGGUCCCAAGGGUUGGGCUGUUCGCCCAUUAAAGCGGUACGCGAGCUGGGUUCAGAACGUCGUGAGACAGUUCGGUCCCUAUCCGUCGUGGGCGUAGGAAAUUUGAGAGGAGCUGUCCUUAGUACGAGAGGACCGGGAUGGACAUACCUCUGGUGUACCAGUUGUCGUGCCAACGGCAUAGCUGGGUAGCUAUGUAUGGACGGGAUAAGUGCUGAAAGCAUCUAAGCAUGAAGCCCCCCUCAAGAUGAGAUUUCCCAACUUCGGUUAUAAGAUCCCUCAGAGAUGAUGAGGUUAAUAGGUUCGAGGUGGAAGCGUGGUGACACGUGGAGCUGACGAAUACUAAUCGAUCGAAGACUUAAUCAA